UACGUAGGGUGCAAGCGUUGUCCGGAAUUAUUGGGCGUAAAGAGCUCGUAGGCGGUCUGUCGCGUCUGCUGUGAAAACCUAGGGCUUAACCCUGGGCGUGCAGUGGGUACGGGCAGACUAGAGUGCGGUAGGGGAGACUGGAAUUCCUGGUGUAGCGGUGAAAUGCGCAGAUAUCAGGAGGAACACCGGUGGCGAAGGCGGGUCUCUGGGCCGUAACUGACGCUGAGGAGCGAAAGCAUGGGGAGCGAACAGG
Molecule: ribosomal RNA, 253 nt
Filed under: uncultured bacterium
Lineage: Bacteria
Description: partial 16S ribosomal RNA
Rfam family: Bacterial small subunit ribosomal RNA
Source: RNAcentral